RNAcentral lists this ribosomal RNA (1445 nucleotides) under Kocuria rosea. RNAcentral's name for it is "bacterial SSU rRNA". It matches the Rfam family "Bacterial small subunit ribosomal RNA". Lineage: Bacteria; Bacillati; Actinomycetota; Actinomycetes; Micrococcales; Micrococcaceae. The record is from RNAcentral.
AUCCUGGCUCAAGGACGAACGCUGGCGAGCGUGCUUAACACAUGCAAGUCGAAACGAUGAUGCCCAGCUUGCUGGGCGGAUUAGUGGCGAACGGGUGAGUAAUACGUGAGUAACCUGCCCUUGACUCUGGGAUAAGCCUGGGAAACUGGGUCUAAUACUGGAUACUACCUCUUACCGCAUGGUGGGUGGUGGAAAGGGUUUUACUGGUUUUGGAUGGGCUCACGGCCUAUCAGCUUGUUGGUGGGGUAAUGGCUCACCAAGCCGACGACGGGUAGCCGGCCUGAGAGGGUGACCGGCCACACUGGGACUGAGACACGGCCCAGACUCCUACGGGAGGCAGCAGUGGGGAAUAUUGCACAAUGGGCGGAAGCCUGAUGCAGCGACGCCGCGUGAGGGAUGACGGCCUUCGGGUUGUAAACCUCUUUCAGUAGGGAAGAAGCGAGAGUGACGGUACCUGCAGAAGAAGCGCCGGCUAACUACGUGCCAGCAGCCGCGGUAAUACGUAGGGCGCAAGCGUUGUCCGGAAUUAUUGGGCGUAAAGAGCUCGUAGGCGGUUUGUCGCGUCUGCUGUGAAAGCCCGGGGCUUAACCCCGGGUCUGCAGUGGGUACGGGCAGACUAGAGUGCAGUAGGGGAGACUGGAAUUCCUGGUGUAGCGGUGAAAUGCGCAGAUAUCAGGAGGAACACCGAUGGCGAAGGCAGGUCUCUGGGCUGUUACUGACGCUGAGGAGCGAAAGCAUGGGGAGCGAACAGGAUUAGAUACCCUGGUAGUCCAUGCCGUAAACGUUGGGCACUAGGUGUGGGGGACAUUCCACGUUUUCCGCGCCGUAGCUAACGCAUUAAGUGCCCCGCCUGGGGAGUACGGCCGCAAGGCUAAAACUCAAAGGAAUUGACGGGGGCCCGCACAAGCGGCGGAGCAUGCGGAUUAAUUCGAUGCAACGCGAAGAACCUUACCAAGGCUUGACAUUCACCGGACCGCCCCAGAGAUGGGGUUUCCCUUCGGGGCUGGUGGACAGGUGGUGCAUGGUUGUCGUCAGCUCGUGUCGUGAGAUGUUGGGUUAAGUCCCGCAACGAGCGCAACCCUCGUUCUAUGUUGCCAGCACGUGAUGGUGGGGACUCAUAGGAGACUGCCGGGGUCAACUCGGAGGAAGGUGGGGAUGACGUCAAAUCAUCAUGCCCCUUAUGUCUUGGGCUUCACGCAUGCUACAAUGGCCGGUACAAAGGGUUGCGAUACUGUGAGGUGGAGCUAAUCCCAAAAAGCCGGUCUCAGUUCGGAUUGAGGUCUGCAACUCGACCUCAUGAAGUCGGAGUCGCUAGUAAUCGCAGAUCAGCAACGCUGCGGUGAAUACGUUCCCGGGCCUUGUACACACCGCCCGUCAAGUCACGAAAGUGUGGUAACACCCGAAGCCGGGUGGCCUAACCCCUUGUGGGAGGGAGCCGUCGAAGG